Molecule: long non-coding RNA, 451 nt
Filed under: Zonotrichia albicollis (white-throated sparrow)
Lineage: Eukaryota; Metazoa; Chordata; Aves; Passeriformes; Passerellidae
Description: lncRNA (ENSZALG00000004449.1)
Source: RNAcentral
CGGCGGGCUCGGGGGGUCCCCCCGUCGUGUACCAGCCCAGGAACUCCAGGUCCUUGAACACCUGCUUGACUUGGGGGGAAAACAGAAAUUGGGAACACCAAAAUUACCCAAAAUUACCCAAAAUCCCCAAAACCCAGGAACUCCAGGUCCUUGAACACCUGCUUGACUUGGGGGGAAAACAGAAAUUGGGGACACCAAAAUUACCCAAAAUCCCCAAAAUUGGGAACCCCAAAACCCAGGAACUCCAGGUCCUUGAACACCUGCUUGACUUGGGGGGAAAAACCAAAAUUGGGAACCCCAAAAUUACCCAAAAUCCUCCUCAAAAUCCAGCCCAGGAACCCCAAAAUCCCCAAAAUUGGGAACCCCAAACCCCAGGAACUCCAGGUCCUUGAACACCUGCUUGACUUUGGGGGGGAAAAACCAAAAUUGGGAACCCCAAAAUUACCCAAAA